RNAcentral lists this ribosomal RNA (492 nucleotides) under uncultured bacterium. RNAcentral's name for it is "partial 16S ribosomal RNA". It matches the Rfam family "Bacterial small subunit ribosomal RNA", at positions 29 to 507 of the family's 1533-position model. The record is from RNAcentral.
AGUGAACGCUGGCGGUAGGCCUAACACAUGCAAGUCGAACGGCAGCACAGUAAGAGCUUGCUCUUACGGGUGGCGAGUGGCGGACGGGUGAGGAAUACAUCGGAAUCUACUUUUUCGUGGGGGAUAACGUAGGGAAACUUACGAUAAUACCGCAUACGACCUACGGGUGAAAGCAGGGGAUCUUCGGACCUUGCGCGAUUGAAUGAGCCGAUGUCGGAUUAGCUAGUUGGCGGGGUAAAGGCCCACCAAGGCGACGAUCCGUAGCUGGUCUGAGAGGAGGAUCAGCCACACUGGAACUGAGACGCGGUCCAGACUCCUACGGGAGGCAGCAGUGGGGAAUAUUGGACAAUGGGCGCAAGCCUGAUCCAGCCAUACCGCGUGGGUGAAGAAGGCCUUCGGUUUGUAAAGCCCUUUUGUUGGUAAAGAAAAGCAGCAGGUUAAUACCCCGCUGUUCUGACGGUACCCAAAGAAUAAGCACCGGCUAACUUCGUG